RNAcentral lists this transfer RNA (74 nucleotides) under Otolemur garnettii (small-eared galago). It matches the Rfam family "tRNA". From Rfam's summary of the family: Transfer RNA (tRNA) molecules are approximately 80 nucleotides in length. Lineage: Eukaryota; Metazoa; Chordata; Mammalia; Primates; Galagidae. The record is from Rfam by way of RNAcentral.
GCGCCUGUGGCUUAAAAGGGUAGAGCGCCGGCCCCAUAUGUCGGAGGUGGCAGGUUCAAACCCAGCCCAGGCCA